Molecule: non-coding RNA, 182 nt
Filed under: SAR324 cluster bacterium
Lineage: Bacteria; Deltaproteobacteria
Description: 6S RNA
Rfam family: 6S / SsrS RNA
About the family: E. coli 6S RNA was the first non coding RNA to be sequenced, but its function was unknown until recently. It consists of 184 nucleotides that fold into an extended hairpin structure with a large single-stranded internal bulge. The 6S RNA specifically associates with RNA polymerase holoenzyme containing the sigma70 specificity factor.
Source: RNAcentral
GCACUCCUGCGGUGUUCGAUAUGCUGAAAAUUCUUUGAGCCUAAUUUCUUGAACGGGGCUUAGUCCCUGAAGGCCGUGUGCAGGCCCAGUGGUAUCGAUGGGAAGCCUGACGCCUUCAAACCGAACCCCACCUGCACUAGCAGGUUCGAGAAUACCAGCAUCCCGGCACAGGCGGGAGUGUC